Non-coding RNA from Pimephales promelas (fathead minnow), 510 nucleotides. Lineage: Eukaryota; Metazoa; Chordata; Actinopteri; Cypriniformes; Leuciscidae. The record is from RefSeq and is a predicted model, not a curated record.
CAUUGCUGUUUUUUUGCGUUUGUAAUAUGACGUAGAAAAAUUAUAACGGCAUUUUAACGUAAUUAUUGCUCGAGGGAAACAAAACGGUACUUAACAGUAUUUUUGACUUGACAUCGGAAGAGCUGCAGUGAGCACGCAUGGAUUUUUCAUCCAUCUUCAUACUUAUAAUAGUGAUAAAAGCACCAACUGCGACAUCGUGAGGGAAGUUGGAUUCCUCACACGGAUAAUUCCCGAUUACAGGUUUCAGGUGAAACACCAGGAAGCUGUAUUCAGCACUGGAUGAUCAGCCUUGAGGGUCAUAUUAUUUCUGAGGGCAUCCAGCCGGCUUUUGUGUCUGGGCUUGCUGCUGUUUUUUCUACUUUUUACAACUUCAAUCUUCAAUACCAAGCUGAGGCAGCAUGCACACUGGAAUUUAUUCAAAGGCAGUUCAUCGGGAUAAACCCAGAAAAAGGCACCAAGGUUGGAGGAGUCAUUUCAAAACGGACGGGGAAGCUCGCCCAGAAAAACAAA